UGCCGCGGCUGGUCCCCGUGGCGGUCGGUGGGGCGGGUCGGGUCGUCGAGAUCUCACGCAGGCAGGAGGACGACGCGGUGUCCCGCCACGUUACCCGUCUUGCCCCUACCUGCCUAGCGGUGGGGGAAUGUAACGAAGAUACUGCAAUCUGCUGCUCCGUUUUUGCGAUCUGAUCAAUGUGUGCAAGGAUCUAAAGGGAAGGUGUUAAGAGGAUGGGGCCAGACCCUUCUCACUGGUGCCCAGCAACAGGACAAGCGGCAACGGGCACAAACUGAAACACAGGAAGUUCCGUCUGAACACGAGGAAAAACUUCUUUCCUGUGAGGGUGGCUGAACACUGGACCAGGUAGCCCAGAGAGGUGGUGGAGUCUCCUUCCCUGGAGAUAAUCAAAACCCGCCUGGACGCGAUGCUGGACAACGUGCUCGAGGUGACCCUGCUUGAGCAGGGGGGUUGGACUAGGUGAUCUCCAGAGGUCCCUCCCGACCUCAACCAUUCUGUGAUUCUGUGAUUUUGCCAAUGGAAAGAUCUUGUGCACUGGAGCAGUUUCCCUUGGCCAUUUAUUGGUUUUUUUUUUUUUCAGUCUACCUUGUAGACUAGAGAAGAUGGCCUGUUACCAGUAUUUCACACGUUUACGUUUCUUGUUUCAGCAUGCCUUUUAAUAGUGUAUCCUUGAAGCAUGCUCAAGCUCAGAUCACUUAAUGCUUGCAGAGACUGGCAAAGUAAUCCUUUGUGUGAAGUGUGCACAUAUACGGCAUCCACAACAUACCAUUUUGCCAUAACAAUGGGUUACAUACUGAUACUGAUCCAGCAUAGAAUGAAGCUGGUGGGGAGAUCCCCCUCUCCCUCAGGAAGAGCAGGUGGGCUGGGAAACUGAAGUUAACGAAGAUGGACAGAAGGAGAAGGAUGCUUGUCUUCAUGUAACCCUCCAAAACUCUACAAAACUCUAUUGAGUAAUUGUCCAGAAGGCUGAAUCGUAUCACAAUACUUCAUGGUACUGUAAUGCUGGUUGGUAUCAGGUAUCAUGAAAGGCUCAAAUAAUAUCCUCCAUCUCUACUUUGCAGACCAGAUAUGCAAAAGCUCCUGGGACAAGUUAAGUACAGCUCUAUGCCUUCUCCUAUAUUAUGCAUUCAUAGAGAUUAAUAUCAAAGUGAGUUGAAAUAUUCUAACAACAUUCAACAGGAUUGAAUGCUAUUAAUAACACUAUGGUCUUGUACAAUACUUUUUUCAGAACUGCUCCAAUUGUUUUAGGAGAGAUCGGUAGGAAGUCAUGCAAGAAAGUUAUGAUAGCAACAAGAAAAGAUUUAAGUUCCCUGAUGUCAAAGACUGCGUCCUAAGCGUGCAAAUUAAUGCUGAGUAUCAUACUAGCUGCUGUCCAAAAUGGGCUCAGUGUCCCUUUUAAUAUUUAACUUAUAUGAAGGAAUUGUGUCAGAAGGUCUUUUGGUCUUACUUGUACGGGCAAAACCAAACCAUAUAUAGAAAGGUAUCAUGGAGGACCUGCCUAUGCAAUUAGUUUUACCUUAUUCAAGAACUUGUUAGAACAUGCUACUAUGCUGACUGUGUUAUAACAUGCUGCCUUAGGUGUUGCCUUAGGUUGAAACACAUUUUCCUAUCAGCACAUAUGUUACUGUGUAGCAGUACCAAACAAAUAAACAAAGGAAUUUAAAACA
This is a long non-coding RNA of Struthio camelus australis, 1667 nucleotides long. The record is from Ensembl. Lineage: Eukaryota; Metazoa; Chordata; Aves; Struthioniformes; Struthionidae.